GACGAACGCUGGCGGCGUGCCUAACACAUGCAAGUCGAGCGAUGAAGUUUCCUUCGGGAAACGGAUUAGCGGCGGACGGGUGAGUAACACGUGAGCAACCUGCCUCAAAGAGGGGGAUAGCCUCCCGAAAGGGAGAUUAAUACCGCAUAACAUCAGAGUUUCGCAUGAUUUUCUGAUUAAAGGAGUAAUCCACUUUGAGAUGGGCUCGCGGCGCAUUAGCUAGUUGGUAAGGUAACGGCUUACCAAGGCGACGAUGCGUAGCCGACCUGAGAGGGUGAUCGGCCACAUUGGGACUGAGACACGGCCCAG
RNAcentral lists this ribosomal RNA (309 nucleotides) under uncultured Clostridium sp. RNAcentral describes it as "bacterial SSU rRNA". It matches the Rfam family "Bacterial small subunit ribosomal RNA", at positions 28 to 334 of the family's 1533-position model. Lineage: Bacteria; Bacillati; Bacillota; Clostridia; Eubacteriales; Clostridiaceae. The record is from RNAcentral.